GAUGAACGCUGGCGGCGUGCUUAACACAUGCAAGUCGAACGAAGCACUUUGAUCGAUUUCUUCGGAUUGAAAUUUUAGUGACUGAGUGGCGGACGGGUGAGUAACGCGUGGGUAACCUGCCUCACACAGGGGGAUAACAGUUGGAAACGACUGCUAAUACCGAAUACGCUUGGGAGACCGCAUGAUCUUCCAAGGAAAGGGUGGCCUCUACUUGUAAGCUAUCGCCUGAAGAGGGGUUUGCGUCUGAUUAGGCAGUUGGUGAGGUAACGGCCCACCAAACCUACGAUCAGUAGCCGGUCUGAGAGGAUGAACGGCCACACUGGAACUGAGACACGGUCCAGACUCCUACGGGAGGCAGCAGUGGGGAAUCUUCCGCAAUGGGCGAAAGCCUGACGGAGCAACGCCGCGUGAGUGAUGACGGCCUCGGUUGUAAGAC
This 436-nucleotide ribosomal RNA is filed under the name uncultured bacterium. RNAcentral describes it as "bacterial SSU rRNA". It matches the Rfam family "Bacterial small subunit ribosomal RNA", at positions 28 to 431 of the family's 1533-position model. The record is from RNAcentral.